GAGGUUCUAACCACCCACCCUACCUCCUGUGCCUUCCUGCCCCCAGCCCUGGUCCACAAACCUGGAGGAACUCCAAAAACAAAGUGGCCUUCAACAUGUAGACUCAUCGACCUUCAAAUUCCAACCUGGAGCCACUGAGGAACCAGGGGUAGCAAAAACUUGAUAGUUGCACUGGAACUUGUUUUGAAGUUUUUAUGAUGAAAUUUUAGAUUCUCAUCACAGAGAACUGAAGAUUUCAAAAGCGAG
Long non-coding RNA from Balaenoptera ricei (Rice's whale), 246 nucleotides. RefSeq lists it as uncharacterized. The transcript is spliced from 3 exons. The record is from RefSeq and is a predicted model, not a curated record. NCBI's taxonomy places the organism in Eukaryota, Metazoa, Chordata, Mammalia, Artiodactyla, Balaenopteridae.